AUUGAACGCUGGCGGCAGGCUUAACACAUGCAAGUCGAACGAUGACUAACUAGCUUGCUAGUUAUGAUUAGUGGCGGACGGGUGAGUAACAUUUAGGAAUCUGCCUAGUAGUGGGGGAUAGCUCGGGGAAACUCGAAUUAAUACCGCAUACGACCUACGGGUGAAAGGGGGCGCAAGCUCUUGCUAUUAGAUGAGCCUAAAUCAGAUUAGCUAGUUGGUGGGGUAAAGGCCUACCAAGGCGACGAUCUGUAACUGGUCUGAGAGGAUGAUCAGUCACACCGGAACUGAGACACGGUCCGGACUCCUACGGGAGGCAGCAGUGGGGAAUAUUGGACAAUGGGGGCAACCCUGAUCCAGCCAUGCCGCGUGUGUGAAGAAGGCCUUUUGGUUGUAAAGCACUUUAAGCAGGGAGGAGAGGCUAAUGGUUAAUACCCAUUAGAUUAGACGUUACCUGCAGAAUAAGCACCGGCUAACUCUGUGCCAGCAGCCGCGGUAAUACAGAGGGUGCGAGCGUUAAUCGGAAUUACUGGGCGUAAAGCGAGUGUAGGUGGCUCAUUAAGUCACAUGUGAAAUCCCCGGGCUUAACCUGGGAACUGCAUGUGAUACUGGUGGUGCUAGAAUAUGUGAGAGGGAAGUAGAAUUCCAGGUGUAGCGGUGAAAUGCGUAGAGAUCUGGAGGAAUACCGAUGGCGAAGGCAGCUUCCUGGCACAAUAUUGACACUGAGAUUCGAAAGCGUGGGUAGCAAACAGGAUUAGAUACCCUGGUAGUCCACGCCGUAAACGAUGUCUACUAGCCGUUGGGGUCCUUGAGACUUUAGUGGCGCAGUUAACGCGAUAAGUAGACCGCCUGGGGAGUACGGCCGCAAGGUUAAAACUCAAAUGAAUUGACGGGGGCCCGCACAAGCGGUGGAGCAUGUGGUUUAAUUCGAUGCAACGCGAAGAACCUUACCUGGUCUUGACAUAGUGAGAAUCCUGCAGAGAUGCGGGAGUGCCUUCGGGAAUUCACAUACAGGUGCUGCAUGGCUGUCGUCAGCUCGUGUCGUGAGAUGUUGGGUUAAGUCCCGCAACGAGCGCAACCCUUUUCCUUAUUUGCCAGCGGGUUAAGCCGGGAACUUUAAGGAUACUGCCAGUGACAAACUGGAGGAAGGCGGGGACGACGUCAAGUCAUCAUGGCCCUUACGACCAGGGCUACACACGUGCUACAAUGGUAGGUACAGAGGGUUGCUACACAGCGAUGUGAUGCUAAUCUCAAAAAGCCUAUCGUAGUCCGGAUUGGAGUCUGCAACUCGACUCCAUGAAGUCGGAAUCGCUAGUAAUCGCAGAUCAGAAUGCUGCGGUGAAUACGUUCCCGGGCCU
Molecule: ribosomal RNA, 1355 nt
Filed under: uncultured bacterium
Lineage: Bacteria
Description: bacterial SSU rRNA
Rfam family: Bacterial small subunit ribosomal RNA
Source: RNAcentral